UCUUCAUCUCGCGCGCUCUCUUACCAGUUAGAGAAGCGAGAGAGCACGCGAAAUGAAGAGA
This 61-nucleotide microRNA precursor is filed under the name Pristionchus pacificus. Its description in RNAcentral is "mir-8364 microRNA precursor family". It matches the Rfam family "mir-8364 microRNA precursor family". The record is from Rfam by way of RNAcentral. Lineage: Eukaryota; Metazoa; Nematoda; Chromadorea; Rhabditida; Neodiplogasteridae.